UACAGAGGCCUCGAGCGUUAGGCGGAAUCACUGGGCUUAAAGCGUGUGUAGGCGGAUGCCUAAGUACCUUGUGAAAUCCCACGGCUCACCCGUGGAACGGCUGGGUAUACUGGGUGUCUUGAGCCACUUAGGGGCUGCCGGAACAAAUGGUGGAGCGGUGAAAUGCGUAGAUAUCAUUUGGAACGCCAAUGGUGAAAACAACUCGCUGGGGGUGUGCUGACGCUGAGACACGAAAGCCAGGGGAGCGAACGGG
This 253-nucleotide ribosomal RNA is filed under the name uncultured bacterium. Its description in RNAcentral is "partial 16S ribosomal RNA". It matches the Rfam family "Bacterial small subunit ribosomal RNA", at positions 524 to 776 of the family's 1533-position model. The record is from RNAcentral.